CCUACGGGUGGCAGCAGUGAGGAAUAUUGGUCAAUGGCCGGAAGGCUGAACCAGCCAAGUCGCGUGAGGGACGACUGCCCUAUGGGUUGUAAACCUCUGUUAUAAGGGAAGAAGAAAUGCUACGUGUAGCAUGAUGCCUGUACCUUAUGAAUAAGCAUCGGCUAACUCCGUGCCAGCAGCCGCGGUAAUACGGAGGAUGCGAGCGUUAUCCGGAUUUAUUGGGGUUAAAGGGUGCGUAGGCGGUUUUUUAAGUUAGUGGUUAAACGUCGGGGCUGCACCUUGAUUUGCCAUUCAUACUGUAAGCCUCGAGUUCAGACGAGGUAGGCGGCAUCCGUUCCGUAGCGGUGUACUGCUUAGCUCUCACG
RNAcentral lists this ribosomal RNA (365 nucleotides) under uncultured bacterium. RNAcentral describes it as "partial 16S ribosomal RNA". It matches the Rfam family "Bacterial small subunit ribosomal RNA", at positions 338 to 701 of the family's 1533-position model. The record is from RNAcentral.